RNAcentral lists this ribosomal RNA (450 nucleotides) under uncultured prokaryote. Its description in RNAcentral is "bacterial SSU rRNA". It matches the Rfam family "Bacterial small subunit ribosomal RNA", at positions 355 to 796 of the family's 1533-position model. The record is from RNAcentral.
UGAGGAAUAUUGCGCAAUGGGCGAAAGCCUGACGGUGCGACGCCGCGUGGAGGAUGACGGCCCUCGGGUUGUAAACUCCUGUCAUCAGAGAGUAAGACUACAGGUAGUAACUGACUUGUGGGUUGAUAGUAUCUGAAGAGGAAGAGACGGCUAACUCUGUGCCAGCAGCCGCGGUAAUACAGAGGUCUCAAGCGUUGUUCGGAAUUACUGGGCGUAAAGCGUGCGUAGGCGGCGAGGUAAGUCAGAUGUGAAAUCCUGGGGCUCAACCCCAGAACUGCAUCCGAUACUGCCUUGCUCGAGUAGUGGAGGGGAGUCUGGAAUUCACGGUGUAGCAGUGAAAUGCGUAGAUAUCGUGAGGAACACUAGUGGCGAAGGCGAGACUCUGGACACUUACUGACGCUGAGGCACGAAGGCCAGGGUAGCGAAAGGGAUUAGAUACCCCGGUAGUCC